This 440-nucleotide ribosomal RNA is filed under the name uncultured bacterium. RNAcentral describes it as "partial 16S ribosomal RNA". It matches the Rfam family "Bacterial small subunit ribosomal RNA", at positions 338 to 795 of the family's 1533-position model. The record is from RNAcentral.
CCUACGGGUGGCAGCAGUGGGGGAUAUUGCACAAUGGGGGAAACCCUGAUGCAGCGACGCCGCGUGUGGGAAGACGGUCCUCUGGAUUGUAAACCACUGUCCCCAGGGACGAAGAUGACGGUACCUGGGGAGAAAGCUCCGGCAAACUACGUCCCAGCAGCCGCGGAAAUACGUAGGGAGCGAGCGUUGUCGGGAAUUACUGGGUGAAAAGGGAGCGUAGGCGGAACUGAAAGUUGGGUGGAAAAUCUACCGGCUCAACCGGUAGCCGCACUUAAAACUGUAGUUCUUGAGUGAAGUAGAGGCAGGUGGAAUUCCUAGUGUAGCGGUGAAAUGCGUAGAUAUUAGGAGGAACACUAGUGGCGAAGGCGACCUGCUGGGAUUUUACUGACGCUGAGGCUCGAAAGUGUGGGGAGCAAACAGGAUUAGAUACCCCUGUAGUC